GACGAACGCUGGCGGCGUGCCUAAUACAUGCAAGUCGAACGCACAGUUUAUACCGUAGCUUGCUACACCAUAGACUGUGAGUUGCGAACGGGUGAGUAACGCGUAGGUAACCUGCCUGGUAGCGGGGGAUAACUAUUGGAAACGAUAGCUAAUACCGCAUAAUAUUGAUUAUUGCAUGAUAAUUGAUUGAAAGAUGCUAUUGCAUCACUACCAGAUGGGCCUGCGUUGUAUUAGCUAGUAGGUGAGGUAACGGCUCACCUAGGCGACGAUACAUAGCCGACCUGAGAGGGUGAUCGGCCACACUGGGACUGAGACACGGCCCAGACUCCUACGGGAGGCAGCAGUAGGGAAUCUUCGGCAAUGGACGAAAGUCUGACCGAGCAACGCCGCGUGAGUGAAGAAGGUUUUCGGAUCGUAAAGCUCUGUUGUAAGAGAAGAACGGGUGUGAGAGUGGAAAGUUCACACUGUGACGGUAUCUUACCAGAAAGGGACGGCUAACUACGUG
Molecule: ribosomal RNA, 505 nt
Filed under: uncultured bacterium
Lineage: Bacteria
Description: partial 16S ribosomal RNA
Rfam family: Bacterial small subunit ribosomal RNA
Source: RNAcentral